This is a long non-coding RNA of Homo sapiens (human), 1749 nucleotides long. The record is from Ensembl. NCBI's taxonomy places the organism in Eukaryota, Metazoa, Chordata, Mammalia, Primates, Hominidae.
ACUCCGAAGCCAGCUGGGUUCUCGAGGGUCCCGCAGCCCACCCGGCUUCGGUGGGGCCGUCGCAACCCACCCCGGUCCGUGGUCCGCCCGCCGCCCUCCCUCAGGCCGCAGCGGAAGCGUGAGAGAGUAGAUGCGGGAGAGGCCUGAAGCUGCACCACGGCGGAGACACACAGUCACGACUAAAUCCGAGGCAGAGAGAAAGCGGGAGGGUGCCGUUGUGACAACCCGCAGUGUCGGGGUAGGGAUGCAAAAGGGACCGGACUCACCUCAACACCAACGUCCUUCCUGACUAAAGGAAAAACGAACCGUGCUGUAGCCGCGCGCAGGCGCAGAAUAAGAGUGCACAGCGAGAACGCGGCGACGGUAGCCGAAGGAGUUCAAAAGACCUCUAGUGCGCCCACCGCAGGUGACAGCCGAAGUUCAUUUCGUGGUCUGCUUCUUUCCUGUGUGACCUUGCAAAACGGGCUUGACCUCCUUAUUUAUCGACCUCUUUAUCUUCUUAGUAAAUUGAAGAUAUUAGUCGUACUCAUACACAGAGUCCCAAACCAUGUGCACAAACCGACAUUUUAAUUAUAACCAACCUUACGCGAAUAACCGUUUGGCUUGGGUAAAAGUGAAAAAGCUGACUUCUAGGAGCUCACAGCCCAGAAGAUGAAAAAGACAAACAGAUUAAUACCGAUCCCAUGCAGUGGGCACUACCACAGAGACGUGGCCCAGCUACUGCAGAAGCAAUUCUCUACCUGGCAAAGCUGAGGACGUUUUGAUAGAGGGGCGGUAUUUUUGUGGGUUUCUUAAGAAAACAAGGAUUUUGAAGGAAGGCAACUGGAAGUUCGUGGAAAGUGGUGUAGAAGGGUGAGGCUCUUGUGCCUUAAUGAUGCCAGGCUGUUUGUAUUGAAAUAACCUGAAUUUUAAAAGCAUUAUUUAAGUCAACCCAUCAAGCCCUGUGGAAGGUAGCUGGGACACAACAGAUGCAUGAUAUUGAGUCGAUAUAUACACUGAGUACCUACUAUGUGCCAGAUUCUGCUAAACAAGAGGACAGAUCUUCGGGGAGUCUCAUUCUGAUCAGGGAGUCUUUGUCCUCAACCUAUUAACCAACACUCUGGAGGGUGAAACCUGGCCACAAAGAAAGGUGCUCAAUUGAGGUUCAAAAGUAGGUUUGGACUUUACCAACGUUUUUCAGGCCUCUUAUCAAGGGUCUACCCAGCUGAAAAUCUUUGCAUGGAAUUUGUCCAGAGAGUAAUUUGUUUCUAUUCUCUUUCCAUCCCCACCCCCAGAGAAGAAGUGGUGAACUUAAGAGUUCACAGGGAUUAGUGUAUGUGAAACCAUCAGGGAAAGCUUCAGACAAUACGUGGAAGAGAUGGAAGCAGAGCUGAGUUUCAGUCUAAUGGAAAGCCUGGAAAACUGGAGAAAUUGGAGAGAAAACAUUGGCUGGGAGAACAUGGCAAAGACAGGCACACUCAGGGCACAGAGCCUGACCUGAGUGAAAUACUGAGUGUUUGUUCUGUGCUUCCCUAGCUAUCCAGUGAACCAUAGUGAAUGACUGAGGGUGACACGUGAAUAAAACCUGAGCGAUAGAUGAAGAGAGACAUGUUACAUAUAGGUUCUGUUCUAGAGCCGAACAGACCUGGAUUUGAGUCCCAGCUCAUCAACUUGUAGCGGCAAAUUUCUUCAUCUUUCUAAGUCUGCUUUCUCCUCUAAAAAUAGUACCCAUUUUGUUGGGUUGUGAUGUAAAUUAAAUGGGAUAAUGUA